GUUCUUUUUCUCAACUUUUAGGUGUUAAAGGAAUUUACUCUUCAAAAACAAUUGAUCGUGCAACUCAUUUUUUGCAUCACUAUUCAAGCUACUUGGGUGCAAGGUAUGAAUUAUAGGUCUGAUUUUAUUUAAUUAAUUAGUUUUUUAAUAUUGUAGAAUGCAACUUGUAGAAAACUGUAAAACUUUUUCAUUCUAAUUGAUGUUGUCUUUGACAUGCAUAUUAGUUGGUCCAAUCCUUCGAGGAUGAUAAUAUUCUAUGCACUUCUUCCAUGUCCUGCUUGUUGAAUGCAUUUGAAAGGGAGUGUUGUUGGAAGGUUGCAGGCUGAGCAACAAAAGCAAGUGCAGGAUUUCCAGGUAACCAGAUUUUGUUCUUGAAUCUAAUCCUUGAUAAAUUCAUGAUUCAUGUCAUGGCCCUUUCUUUUUUUUUUUUGGGGGGGGGGGGGGAGGGGGGUGUUCACUUUUGCUGGGUUUAUUUCAUAGCUCUUGGAAUAGCUUAUUUGGUAAUGCACAAACGCCACCAGUGGAGAGUUUUAUGAAUUUGAAAUUUGGCUUUAAUACACUUCUGUUCUGCUUGGCUAUUACGUGUGUUUCUGAAUCCUAAUGUUAUGGUGCCCAAAGUGAUUGGUUCUAUUGCUUACAAACCAAACCUUACUGGAAAAAUAACAAUAAUUUGAAGGUAUUUAAAUGGGAGGAGCUAAAGGUUUUCUUUUCUUUUCUUGACAUCUGUUCUUGGGAGCCUUACGAAAUUGCAGUCAUCAUUUGUUUUAAAUGCCUUCUUUUGAUGCUGGUAUUAUUUUUGCUUCAUUUACAAUAGGAAGAGUUAAUGUAAGAGACCCCUUUUCUUUCUUUUGAGGAAAAUUAUGGCGUUCAGGUUUUCAAAUAUACUGUAUCAAUGGCAUUUCCAGUAACCAACCCUCUCCCUUAACCUCAUCAUGAACUGCAUGGCCAUAGUUUCACACCAACUUAAAUUCUAGCAAGUUGUAUUAUCUGAAUUCCACUUCUAGUUAGUUAUUGGAGGCUCAAGCUAGAAUUCAACUUUACUUUUACUACAGCAUUUUUGAAACUGACCUGUGUCGGUUUACUUAGGGAUGUACCAUUAUUUUCUGAGUAAAUGCAAUAACAAAUUGGCCAUCAGGAUCUUUUCUUCUUUUGUUGGAAUUGAAAUCGUUCAUCUGCAAAUUUGCUGCAUUUUACUACUCCAUUUUGAUGAUUUAUUAAAAUAUGACAUCCCCUUUAAUUCAUGCACACAGGAAAAGGUAUUGGAAAGAGCAAAAAGAGCCAAAGAGCAAGCGGCACGCGAGGCAUUGGAGGCACAAAGGCUGAUUCCAAAGUCUACUUCCCUAAGUACAUCUAUGGGCACAAAGGCUGAUACCAAUUCUUGUAUUAAAAAGGAAAUUCAUGGACAAAAUGUUGUUAUAAAAAGGAGCAAUAUAUAAUUUGGUACUUGUG
Molecule: long non-coding RNA, 1449 nt
Filed under: Gossypium barbadense (sea-island cotton)
Lineage: Eukaryota; Viridiplantae; Streptophyta; Magnoliopsida; Malvales; Malvaceae
Description: long non-coding RNA (GBAR_LNC018654)
Source: RNAcentral